Molecule: non-coding RNA, 308 nt
Organism: Cinara cedri
Lineage: Eukaryota; Metazoa; Arthropoda; Insecta; Hemiptera; Aphididae
Source: the annotation of a GenBank genome assembly
CUCUCGAAUUUUCUGAUAUUGUGCCCACUGCGACCGUAUAAAUAUAUGUCUUGCCCUACUAAUACACUUGCUCUUCGUCGUUCCUACUACUAUAGCCGUUCCACCGGAUAUUUUCAAUUUCGGGCCAAAUAUCAUUCGUAAGAUUUUCAUCUAGAAUAAUGUUAUUUUUUGUAGUUAUUCGUGUCUCACUCGCACAUAGUUACUGGACAUGCCAGACUUUAAUUUUUAUAACGCCUCGUUAAGUUCUAACCUGGUAUUAUUUCGAAAAAUGGACACACAUAAUACAUUUCCCCUUUCGUUUACUCCCC